UUUAUGGAGAGUUUGAUCCUGGCUCAGGAUGAACGCUGGCGGCGUGCCUAAUACAUGCAAGUCGAGCGAACGGACGAGAAGCUUGCUUCUCUGAUGUUAGCGGCGGACGGGUGAGUAACACGUGGAUAACCUACCCAUAAGACUGGGAUAACUUCGGGAAACCGGAGCUAAUACCGGAUAAUAUUUUGAACCGCAUGGUUCAAAAGUGAAAGACGGUCUUACUGUCACUUAUGGAUGGAUCCGCGCUGCAUUAGCUAGUUGGUAAGGUAACGGCUUACCAAGGCAACGAUGCAUAGCCGACCUGAGAGGGUGAUCGGCCACACUGGAACUGAGACACGGUCCAGACUCC
Molecule: ribosomal RNA, 349 nt
Filed under: Staphylococcus aureus
Lineage: Bacteria; Bacillati; Bacillota; Bacilli; Caryophanales; Staphylococcaceae
Description: bacterial SSU rRNA
Rfam family: Bacterial small subunit ribosomal RNA
Source: RNAcentral